This 349-nucleotide unclassified non-coding RNA is filed under the name soil metagenome. RNAcentral describes it as "partial contains 5.8S ribosomal RNA, internal transcribed spacer 2, and large subunit ribosomal RNA". The stretch from base 1 to 120 matches the Rfam family "5.8S ribosomal RNA", at positions 35 to 154 of the family's 154-position model. The record is from RNAcentral.
GAUGAAGAACGUAGCGAAAUGCGAUAAGUAAUGUGAAUUGCAGAAUUCAGUGAAUCAUCGAAUCUUUGAACGCACAUUGCGCCCGCCAGCACUCUGGCGGGCAUGCCUGUCCGAGCGUCAUUUCAACCCUCAGGGCCCCUUCGGGGGACCUGGCGUUGGGGAUCGGCCCGCCCCCGUGCGGCGCCGUCCCCGAAAUAUAGUGGCGGUCUCGCUGCAGCCUCCACUGCGUAGUAGCACACCUCGCACUGGAGAGCGGCGCGGCCACGCCGUGAAACCCCCAACUUCUGAAUGUUGACCUCGGAUCAGGUAGGAAUACCCGCUGAACUUAAGCAUAUCAAUAAGCGGAGGA